Molecule: long non-coding RNA, 217 nt
Filed under: Medicago truncatula (barrel medic)
Lineage: Eukaryota; Viridiplantae; Streptophyta; Magnoliopsida; Fabales; Fabaceae
Description: long non-coding RNA (MTRU_LNC003903)
Source: RNAcentral
CCUAGGCUUCCUCUAAAUAAAACUCCCCUAAACUUAGUAUACAAAUGUCCAACACCACCUCAUCCCGUUUGACUCGCACCCAAUUGAAACAAAAGGCCAACAAAAUAAAAUCUAAAAUUGAACUAUUCACCAUCCACCAACAUCGUUCCACAUAAUCAACCCUAAUUAUGGAACCAUUCAUUUCUAGAUCCAAUAUCCUCCUCACCUUCUCCUAAAU